UCUUGAAUCUUAACAGAAUCGGCUCAUUUAAGAUGUGUUAGGAGAAAGGCAGAGUGGUGUGGAUGCUAAGGUCAUUGGAGGAUCCUCGACCAUCCACUUGAAGUUAGAUGAGUUGGCGGUCAAUUUCUUUAAAUUUGCACUCAUAGUCGUCGAGCCACCAUUACUGUGAGAUCCAAGGGUAGAGUCCCCUGAAGAACUCAAGGAUUGGAAAGUCAAGGGCACGUGCAGCCUCUUUCCCUUCU
Molecule: long non-coding RNA, 242 nt
Filed under: Elaeis guineensis (African oil palm)
Lineage: Eukaryota; Viridiplantae; Streptophyta; Magnoliopsida; Arecales; Arecaceae
Description: long non-coding RNA (EGUI_LNC035330)
Source: RNAcentral